RNAcentral lists this small RNA (107 nucleotides) under Marmota monax (woodchuck). Lineage: Eukaryota; Metazoa; Chordata; Mammalia; Rodentia; Sciuridae. The record is from RNAcentral.
GCCAGGCACAGUGGUGUACACCUGUAAUCCCAGUAACUCAGGAGGCUGACACAGGGGGAUCAUGAGUUUGAGGCCAGCCUCAGCAACUUAGUGAGACCCUGUCUCCA